This 76-nucleotide transfer RNA is filed under the name Bdellovibrio sp. 28-41-41. RNAcentral's name for it is "tRNA-Val". It matches the Rfam family "tRNA". Rfam says of the family: Transfer RNA (tRNA) molecules are approximately 80 nucleotides in length. Their secondary structure includes four short double-helical elements and three loops (D, anti-codon, and T loops). The record is from RNAcentral. Lineage: Bacteria; Pseudomonadati; Bdellovibrionota; Bdellovibrionia; Bdellovibrionales; Pseudobdellovibrionaceae.
GCGGAUAUAGCGUAGUUGGUAGCGCGCGUCCUUGACAUGGACGAGGUCACUGGUUCAAGUCCAGUUAUUCGCACCA